RNAcentral lists this ribosomal RNA (305 nucleotides) under uncultured bacterium. Its description in RNAcentral is "bacterial SSU rRNA". It matches the Rfam family "Bacterial small subunit ribosomal RNA", at positions 333 to 655 of the family's 1533-position model. The record is from RNAcentral.
CGAUCCCUACGGGGGGCAGCAGUGGGGAAUAUUGGACAAUGGGGGAAACCCUGAUCCAGCGACGCCGCGUGAGUGAAGAAGUAUUUCGGUAUGUAAAGCUCUAUCAGCAGGGAAGAUAAUGACGGUACCUGACUAAGAAGCCCCGGCUAACUACGUGCCAGCAGCCGCGGUAAUACGUAGGGGGCAAGCGUUAUCCGGAUUUACUGGGUGUAAAGGGAGCGUAGGUGGCAGGGCAAGUCAGAUGUGAAAACCCGGGGCUCAACUCCGGGAGUGCAUUUGAAACUGUCCAGCUAGAGAGCAGGAGG